UACGGGGGGGGCAAGCGUUGUUCGGAAUUACUGGGCGUAAAGGGCUCGUAGGUGGCCAACUAAGUCAGACGUGAAAUCCCUCGGCUUAACCGGGGAACUGCGUCUGAUACUGGAUGGCUUGAGUUUGGGAGAGGGUAGUGGAAUUCCCGGUGUAGUGGUGAAAUGCGUAGAUAUCGGGAGGAACACCAGUGGCGAAGGCGACUACCUGGCCUGUUCUUGACGCUGAGGCGCGAAAGCUAGGGGGGCAAACGGG
This 253-nucleotide ribosomal RNA is filed under the name uncultured bacterium. RNAcentral's name for it is "partial 16S ribosomal RNA". It matches the Rfam family "Bacterial small subunit ribosomal RNA", at positions 524 to 776 of the family's 1533-position model. The record is from RNAcentral.